Molecule: microRNA, 23 nt
Filed under: Acyrthosiphon pisum (pea aphid)
Lineage: Eukaryota; Metazoa; Arthropoda; Insecta; Hemiptera; Aphididae
Description: api-miR-3038
Source: miRBase by way of RNAcentral
UGGGGUUUCAAUAGGCAUUUACC